GAUGAAGAACGUAGCGAAAUGCGAUAAGUAAUGUGAAUUGCAGAAUUCAGUGAAUCAUCGAAUCUUUGAACGCAUCUUGCGCUCCUUGGUAUUCUGAGGAGCAUGCCUGUUUGAGUGUCAUUAAAUUCUCAACUACACUGACUUUGAAUUGGUGUGGCUUGGAUUUGGGGGGAAAAUUGUUGUGGGCUUUUUGUAUAGUCUGCUCCCCUGAAAUUGAUUAGCGGUACCUUUGUGGAACUGUCUACAGGUGUGAUAAUUAUCUACAUCUUAGACAUCUGCUGGAAUGCUGCUUUCUAAACCUUACUUGUAUUGACAAUCAUGACCUCAAAUCAGGUAGGACUACCCGCUGAACUUAAGCAUAUCAAUAAGCGGAGGA
This 376-nucleotide unclassified non-coding RNA is filed under the name soil metagenome. Its description in RNAcentral is "partial contains 5.8S ribosomal RNA, internal transcribed spacer 2, and large subunit ribosomal RNA". The stretch from base 1 to 120 matches the Rfam family "5.8S ribosomal RNA", at positions 35 to 154 of the family's 154-position model. The record is from RNAcentral.